Molecule: ribosomal RNA, 700 nt
Filed under: uncultured bacterium
Lineage: Bacteria
Description: bacterial SSU rRNA
Rfam family: Bacterial small subunit ribosomal RNA
Source: RNAcentral
AGUGGCGGACGGGUGAGUAACGCGUAAGAAUCUAACUUCAGGACGGGGACAACAGUGGGAAACGACUGCUAAUACCCGAUGUGCCGCGAGGUGAAACCUAAUUGGCCUGAAGAAGAGCUUGCGUCUGAUUAGCUAGUUGGUGGGGUAAGAGCCUACCAAGGCGACGAUCAGUAGCUGGUCUGAGAGGAUGAGCAGCCACACUGGGACUGAGACACGGCCCAGACUCCUACGGGAGGCAGCAGUGGGGAAUUUUCCGCAAUGGGCGAAAGCCUGACGGAGCAACGCCGCGUGAGGGAGGAAGGUCUUUGGAUUGUAAACCUCUUUUCUCAAGGAAGAAGUUCUGACGGUACUUGAGGAAUCAGCCCCGGCUAACUCCGUGCCAGCAGCCGCGGUAAUACGGGGGAGGCAAGCGUUAUCCGGAAUUAUUGGGCGUAAAGCGUCCGCAGGUGGUCAGCCAAGUCUGCCGUCAAAUCAGGUUGCUUAACGACCUAAAGGCGGUGGAAACUGGCAGACUAGAGAGCAGUAGGGGUAGCAGGAAUUCCCAGUGUAGCGGUGAAAUGCGUAGAGAUUGGGAAGAACAUCGGUGGCGAAAGCGUGCUACUGGGCUGUAUCUGACACUCAGGGACGAAAGCUAGGGGAGCGAAAGGGAUUAGAUACCCCUGUAGUCCUAGCCGUAAACGAUGGAUACUAGGCGUGGCUU